Molecule: transfer RNA, 70 nt
Filed under: Odocoileus pandora (Yucatan brown brocket)
Lineage: Eukaryota; Metazoa; Chordata; Mammalia; Artiodactyla; Cervidae
Description: tRNA-Arg
Rfam family: tRNA
About the family: Transfer RNA (tRNA) molecules are approximately 80 nucleotides in length.
Source: RNAcentral
AUGGUAUUUAGUUUAAAAGAAAAUAAAUGAUUUCGACUCAUUAGACUGUGAUCAAAUUCACAACUACCAA